GCCGCAGUGGUGAAAUGGCAUACACGUACGCUUCAGAAGCGUAUGGGGAAACCCGUAGAGGUUCAACUCCUCUCUGCGGCA
Molecule: transfer RNA, 81 nt
Filed under: bacterium
Lineage: Bacteria
Description: tRNA-Leu
Rfam family: tRNA
About the family: Transfer RNA (tRNA) molecules are approximately 80 nucleotides in length.
Source: RNAcentral